This 537-nucleotide ribosomal RNA is filed under the name Salmonella enterica. RNAcentral describes it as "bacterial SSU rRNA". It matches the Rfam family "Bacterial small subunit ribosomal RNA", at positions 108 to 641 of the family's 1533-position model. RNAcentral also lists the same sequence under 3 other names. Lineage: Bacteria; Pseudomonadati; Pseudomonadota; Gammaproteobacteria; Enterobacterales; Enterobacteriaceae. The record is from RNAcentral.
GAGUAAUGUCUGGGAAACUGCCUGAUGGAGGGGGAUAACUACUGGAAACGGUGGCUAAUACCGCAUAACGUCGCAAGACCAAAGAGGGGGACCUUCGGGCCUCUUGCCAUCAGAUGUGCCCAGAUGGGAUUAGCUUGUUGGUGAGGUAACGGCUCACCAAGGCGACGAUCCCUAGCUGGUCUGAGAGGAUGACCAGCCACACUGGAACUGAGACACGGUCCAGACUCCUACGGGAGGCAGCAGUGGGGAAUAUUGCACAAUGGGCGCAAGCCUGAUGCAGCCAUGCCGCGUGUAUGAAGAAGGCCUUCGGGUUGUAAAGUACUUUCAGCGGGGAGGAAGGUGUUGUGGUUAAUAACCGCAGCAAUUGACGUUACCCGCAGAAGAAGCACCGGCUAACUCCGUGCCAGCAGCCGCGGUAAUACGGAGGGUGCAAGCGUUAAUCGGAAUUACUGGGCGUAAAGCGCACGCAGGCGGUCUGUCAAGUCGGAUGUGAAAUCCCCGGGCUCAACCUGGGAACUGCAUUCGAAACUGGCAGGC